Molecule: ribosomal RNA, 492 nt
Filed under: uncultured bacterium
Lineage: Bacteria
Description: partial 16S ribosomal RNA
Rfam family: Bacterial small subunit ribosomal RNA
Source: RNAcentral
AUUGAACGCUGGCGGCAUGCUUUACACAUGCAAGUCGAACGGUAACAGGCCUUCGGGUGCUGACGAGUGGCGAACGGGUGAGUAAUGCAUCGGAACGUACCCAGAGGUGGGGGAUAACGCAGCGAAAGCUGUGCUAAUACCGCAUGUGAUCUGAGGAUGAAAGCGGGGGACCGAGCAGCAAUGUUUGGCCUCGCGCCUUUGGAGCGGCCGAUGUCGGAUUAGCUAGUUGGAGGGGUAAAGGCCUACCAAGGCGACGAUCCGUAGCUGGUCUGAGAGGACGAACACCCACACGGGGACUGAGACAGGCCCAAGACCCCUGGGGUGGGAAGAAGUGGGGAAUUUUGGAGAAUGGGGGAGAGCGGUAUCCAAGAAAGCGGGGGGGGGAAAGAAGGCCUUAGGGUUGGAAACUGAUUUAGGCGGGAAGGAAAUGAAGCCCGUUAAGACGGGGCGAUAAUGACGGUACCAGAAGAAGAAGCACGGGCUAACUCCGUG